This 200-nucleotide long non-coding RNA is filed under the name Carica papaya (papaya). RNAcentral describes it as "long non-coding RNA (CPAP_LNC001593)". The record is from RNAcentral. Lineage: Eukaryota; Viridiplantae; Streptophyta; Magnoliopsida; Brassicales; Caricaceae.
AAUCCGAACAAUCCACACACGCAGGAUCGCUUCUCGGUCGUCCGAUCGCAGGGUACGCGGAUCACCAGCGUGGCCUCCCGCGUGGCACCAAGUCAACGUGCCUUGCCACGCGACGCGCUCCGAUUCGUUGAGGCUGCUGAAUGGCAGUCCUAUGUGAUCAAAAUUUUCUUAUUUACAUUCUGACCUCUAGAAUCUAAUUU